AAUAAGUGUGAUCUAACCCCCCUUCCCCCUCCCUCCAUUCGCCCAAUAUCGAGAAACCACUUCAACCACCCCAACCUGGGCAACAACGGGGGGGAAGAAAUCUACAUCCAGCGAGCGAGAGACGGGAGGAAUCGAGGGCGCGAGAGGAUGGCGAACUGCAAAAUGUCAGCUGAAAAAAAAAAAAAAAAGAGUUGCUAGUGGCCUGACAUGGAGGGGGAGACUACGUGGCACAGUUAUUAGGGAAGAUGUCUGGCGCUAAUCAGUGGAGGACUGCAGGGACCCCCACUAAACGGCCUCAUCAUCAGAGGGACCCAGUGGUGAUAAAUCUAGCCCCAAGCACCCAGGGGGCCUGCAGUCCGUGGUCCUCCUAGCCCCGGGGCCCGGCUGCGACCACGAGAAGUACGCUGGUGGUCCCAGCAGGGGCGGAGGCUCAGACACACCAUUAGCAUGAGGGAAUUGGAGUCAUUACAACUGGAAGGGCAACGGAGGACGAGUCCUUCUCUCUGCAAAGGAGAUGAAAACCCAUCCCAGAAUGACCCUCUAAUAGGGGGGAGGGACACAUCUGUCAAGUGCAUAAACAUGACCCAUGUCUUUGAGUCUCCAUCAUCUCAUUAACUUCUGCUGGGCGGAAGGGGCAGUCUCCAUUAUCUUUGCACGUGCAGAACACGAGUUGAAACUGGAGGAUGGACCAAGCAAUUAUCUGCUAUUUUGAGCAAGGUCAGCAACUCCGAGGGAACCGAGAAUCCACUGGUCACUUUGUCAACAGACAGACGGCGUGAGCACAGACCGUCAGACAAGCUUCAAAAGAAGUACUUCUCUUUGUCUGUUUUUUGCAAUUAAACCCCUCAUUUCCAUUUCUAAAAUGUGCAAUAAUGGCCAAUUAAAACUGAAUAUGGGUGAUCACUGAGAUAAUGAAGAGGCAAAAGUGUGUCUCUUUUAUUUGAUAAAAGCCUUAAAACAGUGUUAGUUUUUCCUUUGACUCUACGUAGAAUUUCCAUUUCCAUUAGCUUACAAAUGACUGUCUUUUCCUCAUUAGAGCGAUGUCACAGUGUAAAUGAUCCCAACCCGUUGUUUUGUGUCUCUUUUAAACUGAAUUAUACAUCAAGACUCCUGUUCCAGUUUUAAAUGAGAAGCAAAUAGUUUCCUAUGUAAAGUGAGUAGAGUUCCGAAGUGAAUAAAAAUCCACUCAUAUUGCGUCACUCAGAGAUGCACUAAUGAUUCUUUAAUUAGACUUUAAUGUCUGCACUCCCCCCAGCCCAAAACACCAUGAAGACGGUUCAUCUUAUGAGAGGAUGCAGCACAUCACUGUAUCCACCUUGAAUGUACUGGUAGCAUGUGCAUAUGUGAUGUGAAGAACAGAAUGAUACUACAAACAAUA
Scophthalmus maximus (turbot) is the source of this 1378-nucleotide long non-coding RNA. RefSeq lists it as uncharacterized. The transcript has 4 exons. Lineage: Eukaryota; Metazoa; Chordata; Actinopteri; Pleuronectiformes; Scophthalmidae. The record is from RefSeq and is a predicted model, not a curated record.